Molecule: ribosomal RNA, 253 nt
Filed under: uncultured bacterium
Lineage: Bacteria
Description: partial 16S ribosomal RNA
Rfam family: Bacterial small subunit ribosomal RNA
Source: RNAcentral
UACGUAGGGUGCAGGCGUUAAUCGGAAUUACUGGGCGUAAAGCGUGCUCAGGCGGUUUUGUAAGUCUGUCGUGAAAGCCCCGGGCUUAACCUGGGAAUUGCGAUGGAGACUGCAAGGCUUGAAUCUGGCAGAGGGGGGUAGAAUUCCACGUGUAGCAGUGAAAUGCGUAGAGAUGUGGAGGAACACCGAUGGCGAAGGCAGCCCCCUGGGUCAAGAUUGACGCUCAUGCACGAAAGCGUGGGGAGCAAACAGG